This 253-nucleotide ribosomal RNA is filed under the name uncultured bacterium. RNAcentral's name for it is "partial 16S ribosomal RNA". It matches the Rfam family "Bacterial small subunit ribosomal RNA", at positions 524 to 776 of the family's 1533-position model. The record is from RNAcentral.
UACGUAGGGUGCGAGCGUUGUCCGGAAUUACUGGGCGUAAAGAGCUUGUAGGCGGUCUGUCACGUCGAUUGUGAAAACUUGGGGCUCAACCCCACGCUUGCAGUCGAUACGGGCAAACUAGAGUAUUGCAGGGGAGACUGGAAUUCCUGGUGUAGCGGUGAAAUGCGCAGAUAUCAGGAGGAACACCGGUGGCGAAGGCGGGUCUCUGGGCAAUAACUGACGCUGAGGAGCGAAAGCGUGGGGAGCGAACAGG